Molecule: ribosomal RNA, 398 nt
Filed under: uncultured bacterium
Lineage: Bacteria
Description: bacterial SSU rRNA
Rfam family: Bacterial small subunit ribosomal RNA
Source: RNAcentral
GGAAUCUUAGACAAUGGGCGCAAGCCUGAUCUAGCCAUGCCGCGUGAGCGAUGAAGGCCUUAGGGUUGUAAAGCUCUUUCACCGGGGAAGAUAAUGACGGUACCCGGAGAAGAAGCCCCGGCUAACUCCGUGCCAGCAGCCGCGGUAAUACGGAGGGGGCUAGCGUUGCUCGGAAUCACUGGGCGUAAAGCGCACGUAGGUGGGUCGCUGAGUCGGGGGUGAAAUCCUGGAGCUCAACUCCAGAACUGCCUUCGAUACUGGCGAUCUUCGAGUCCGGGAGAGGUGGGUGGAACUGCGAGUGUAGAGGUGAAAUUCGUAGAUAUUCGCAAGAACACCAGUGGCGAAGGCGGCUCACUGGCCCGGUACUGACACUGAGGUGCGAAAGCGUGGGGAGCAAA